AGUCAGCGGUUAGGCACCGGCUAAGGCAGAAUGCAGGACCACCCCAUUCCCACAGGGGGAAAGGCAGUGUGAUGCCCACCGCUGGGGUGAUCCACGAAAGGAUCUGGCUCACAUCCAGAGUCGCCGCUGCACCUGCCCCCAGGGGGUGCUGGCAGGGUUGCUGCUUUCGAUUGGGGGCAUGCUGGCAGUCCCUGAUCAAGGAUGAAAGGGCUUCCUUCCCUUCACCUCCGGAUCCUGCCGACAGGUCUUGGACUGUAAUAAAGAUGACUGAUUGAUGGUCAUGGAUGUGAGCUACAAUCAGCCCUUCAAGCAAGUAUUGUGGAAGAAAUGGGUGGAGUGGAUGUACGCUGGGCUGAGGACACUCACCGCAUCAGGCCGUCAGAAGAAGCUAGACCUUUCCAUUAUCAUCCGGUGGGUUGAAGAGGCUUGGGAGGAAAUUGACCCUGCCAUACGUCGGAGGUUCAAGCAACGCUGCCUAACAAAUGGGAUGGAAGACUCUGAAGAUGAUAGCCUUUGGGUGAUAUUUGAAUCCACUGAUUCAGAUAUAGAAUUUUAAAGUUUUGCCAAAGACAAUAGAGAUGGGAAUCCCAGUGAAUCAUCCAACAAUGAAGCCCCACCUCACUGUCAGCUCUGAGCUCAGAUGCUGCCCCCGCCCCCAGUCCUCUGAGGACAAGCAGGUUCAUGAAUAAAGUUGUUGAUGUUCAUAACUGAA
Hemicordylus capensis (graceful crag lizard) is the source of this 712-nucleotide long non-coding RNA. RefSeq lists it as uncharacterized. The record is from RefSeq and is a predicted model, not a curated record. The transcript is spliced from 2 exons. Lineage: Eukaryota; Metazoa; Chordata; Lepidosauria; Squamata; Cordylidae.